UACAGAGGUGGCAAGCGUUGUUCGGAAUUACUGGGCGUAAAGGGCGCGUAGGCGGCCUUCUAAGUCAGACGUGAAAUCCCCCGGCUUAACCUGGGAACUGCGUCUGAUACUGGAGGGCUUGAGUGCGGGAGAGGGAUGUGGAAUUCCAGGUGUAGCGGUGAAAUGCGUAGAUAUCUGGAGGAACACCGGUGGCGAAGGCGGCAUCCUGGACCGACACUGACGCUGAGGCGCGAAAGCGAGGGUAGCAAACGGG
RNAcentral lists this ribosomal RNA (253 nucleotides) under uncultured bacterium. RNAcentral's name for it is "partial 16S ribosomal RNA". It matches the Rfam family "Bacterial small subunit ribosomal RNA", at positions 524 to 776 of the family's 1533-position model. The record is from RNAcentral.